AUUCAAGGGAAAAUGCAAGGUUUGGGCCCUCAGCUGAUAUUUGCAGCACCCUUUCCAUGAAGGAUCUCUGACCAGCCACUGAUGCUCAUAGUCAUCGGCCUUGACUCUGCAGUACUGGGAAUGCUGACAUGAACAAGCAGGAAGAAGUGCAGCUACAAACAUUUGAAAUGUUUAAAAGAAGGCUGUGAUUCAGCAUGCUCCUGCUCAUGGACUUGAUUCACGUUUUGUUGGAUGCUGACUACUGAGGCUUUCAACCUCCUCUCUGUUGGAGAUAGGAAAAGCGGACAGAAGCCAUAUGGACAGAUUCCGAGGAGAGGGUAAAGGGACCAGGAUAAGCCCACACAGAUCUUUCCCAAAGGACAAGUGAUAUGAAACUGAAGGAAUUAACACCCAUUCCCUUCUGUGGACAGUGAAUGCACAGAUCUGACCUUCAGUUAAAGCAGCAUGACCUGUUAUGAAGUUAUGACCAUAAAGUUCUUAUUGUGAAUAAACAUAGACCACUUGGCCCUGUAGAAGAAAAAUGCUAAUACUUUAAUGACGCUGAUUCAAAAGCUAUUUGUCAGGAAGAAAUCAGUUUACAGUGGCAAAAAGGAGGAAGUUUACAGAUUGCCGGACUACUGUUCUGCCAGAGUCUUACUCAUAUUGUAUGUGAUGACUAAUUCCAGGCCCUAA
Coturnix japonica (Japanese quail) is the source of this 672-nucleotide non-coding RNA. The record is from RefSeq and is a predicted model, not a curated record. NCBI's taxonomy places the organism in Eukaryota, Metazoa, Chordata, Aves, Galliformes, Phasianidae.